UGGGGAAUAUUGGACAAUGGGCGAAAGCCUGAUCCAGCAAUGCCGCGUGAGUGAUGAAGGCCUUAGGGUUGUAAAGCUCUUUUACCAGGGAUGAUAAUGACAGUACCUGGAGAAUAAGCUCCGGCUAACUCCGUGCCAGCAGCCGCGGUAAUACGGAGGGAGCUAGCGUUGUUCGGAAUUACUGGGCGUAAAGCGUACGUAGGCGGUGACUCAAGUCAGAGGUGAAAGCCUGGAGCUCAACUCCAGAACUGCCUUUGAAACUAGGUCGCUAGAAUCACGGAGAGGUGAGUGGAAUUCCGAGUGUAGAGGUGAAAUUCGUAGAUAUUCGCAGGAACACCAGUGGCGAAGGCGACUCGCUGGACUUGUGGUGACGCUGAGAUGCGAAAGCGUGGGGAGCAAACAGGAUUAGAUACCCCCGUAGUCCCUGAGCGGGCUGGCAAGGCGCAU
Molecule: ribosomal RNA, 447 nt
Filed under: uncultured bacterium
Lineage: Bacteria
Description: bacterial SSU rRNA
Rfam family: Bacterial small subunit ribosomal RNA
Source: RNAcentral